RNAcentral lists this long non-coding RNA (269 nucleotides) under Cyanistes caeruleus (blue tit). RNAcentral's name for it is "lncRNA (ENSCCEG00000001169.1)". The record is from RNAcentral. Lineage: Eukaryota; Metazoa; Chordata; Aves; Passeriformes; Paridae.
UUUCUCUUUCCAUUUUCAGUUGUGUUACUUGAUACUACAACUGCCCUGGGAGAACUAGGAUGGAAAACAUUUCCCUUAAAUGGGAGUUAAGGUUAGACAGAAAAAUGACAGAAUUUCUUCUGUGAAGACAAAUUUAGGCACAGGAACACUUACUAAAGGCUAAUGGGUAAAGCAGAUACAACACAUCAGGCCAAAUGUUUAUCAGGUGUCCAGAGUGCUUCAGAAGAAUCAUGUGUAUAAUAUAAAUAAAUUGCCAGAAAAACAACUCA